GGUGGGAUGGGUAGAGAAGGAGCUCAGAGGACUGUGCGCCUUAUUUCCCCUGAGCCCUCCCUCUCUCUUCCCACC
This is a microRNA precursor of Cercocebus atys (sooty mangabey), 75 nucleotides long. The record is from Ensembl. Lineage: Eukaryota; Metazoa; Chordata; Mammalia; Primates; Cercopithecidae.